CCCCGUGUUGCUCAGUUGGUAGAGCAUGGUGUUUGCAACGCCAGGGUUGUGGGUUCGAUUCCCACGGGGG
Molecule: transfer RNA, 70 nt
Filed under: Salmo salar (Atlantic salmon)
Lineage: Eukaryota; Metazoa; Chordata; Actinopteri; Salmoniformes; Salmonidae
Rfam family: tRNA
About the family: Transfer RNA (tRNA) molecules are approximately 80 nucleotides in length. Their secondary structure includes four short double-helical elements and three loops (D, anti-codon, and T loops).
Source: Rfam by way of RNAcentral